GCCUAUACCUUUCUGAUUCAGUUUCAAAAAUUCAAAGUCUUUCGAAACAGGUAUGUUAAUAUUACCUAAUGAUAAUUUAGUCGAAAAAGUUAACAAUUGUUGUGUUUGAAUUAUAUAUGAAGUGAAUGGAGAUAAAGGAGGAAAAGACGAGACAAAUUCAAAACCCACCAGGUUUUACUUUUAGAACUUGAAGCUUCUCUAGGAGUAGUAGCAUAGCUAGAGCACAAUAACAUGAUGUGACAAAAGUUCGUUUUAAGGAAUGUCAAGUCACUUGUUGAUGGAUUACAUGCACAUAAGGAUUUUGCUUAUGAUAUCCUUAUGUUGAGUGGUAAGUUCAUUAUUUUUUUUUUCAUUUUUUCUUCUGUGCAUCUCUUAAUAAUGCUAUAAUUUUACAAUGUGUUAAGUUAACACGAAGGUUCUUUGUUGUAUACAUAUAUUUUCCUAUUCAUGAAUGGGAUAAACUUUAGAUAUAUAUCCAAGAAAACAUGAUCACAACGACUUAAUAGCAUAUAUAUGCCAUUUUAGAACUCUUAAACUAAGGUCUUCAAUUUUAAUCAUCAAUCCAUAACUUUCUUUUCUAGACAUGGGUACUUUUAUUAUUCUUAAUACAUGGAAUACAAAUUUAUAUUCAUUCUUUGUAUUAGGAGUAUAAUUGUUUUCUAGAUCAGAUGUAUAACUUUCUAUAAUGUUCUGGUUGAUUUUGGAUUACUCACACGUAAGUUUGUUGGCUUUCCCCCUGUUGGACGAUAUUGCCCCUGUCUCAGUUUCAUUGAAUUCAACCUCUUCCAUUAAGCCGACCCAACUUAACAACCCUCUAGAGCUCCCCAUAAUCUACCAAUAGUUGAAGAUCAAACCUCAAGAACAAGUAGAGGAGUUGUCUGCUUUUAAUUUAUUUUUAUGUUUUAGCUGUUUUUUUAUUGCUUGUAUGUUUCCAAACACUUCUACUUUUUGCAGAGCAACUUAGAGCAGUAGGCUGCAAAAUUUUAUGCAUAAAUUCGGUAUGUCAAAGGAGUUGGAGUAAAA
Molecule: non-coding RNA, 1023 nt
Organism: Lactuca sativa (garden lettuce)
Lineage: Eukaryota; Viridiplantae; Streptophyta; Magnoliopsida; Asterales; Asteraceae
Source: RefSeq, a predicted model, not a curated record